GGCCCCGGCGCCGGGGGCGCAGGAAACGCGUCAUCACUCGGGGACGGCGCGCUGCGGUGGGCUCGGCGCCGCUCGGCUCGUGGGCCGGCUAGGCUGCAGCUCUGGGGUCCCCGGGGUCUGUGCCCCGCCGCGCGGUGCGGGAGACUCCGCUAUAGGAAGGGGCUGGGGGGCGCGGGCAGGCCGGGUUCCGCAGGGUGCCUUCCGGGGCGCCGGCCGGGUCCUGAGGCAGCGAGGACCUGGGGCGUGGGGGGCGGAGUCCUCUGCAGCGACCCGGCUGCUGGGACCCCGGGCGGCAGCUCCGGACCCCGGAGCCCCCUGGUAGAGGUCGCUGAGGAUCGGGAGACCGCUGGGGGAAUGGGGGGCAGGAGGGGUGGACUGCACUCAGUUACAAAUGUUCUGCCUCCUGCCGAGCGCUGGGAGCAUCAGUUAUGCCCUUUGCCCCUUCGGUUCACGGUCUCAGGGAGGGGAUGUGAGACGGCGCGGCGCGAUCUGAAGGUUACCACGGGGGCAAGGAGCCUCGGAAGGCGCGUUCCGUGGGAUCCAGUUUUUAAAUACAGGCGGAAAGACUGGACGAACAAGGCCAUCAUGCUGGCUCCGUCUCAGUGUUCGAACAGUCAGGAUGGACUUCAAGAAAGCACAUUUCUUGAGUUACUCAGACUUACCGUAUUUCUUGAAGCACGAAACUGCUGCACUGUAAAUCUAAGAAAGGUGAUGUUGAUCUUAGACAUUUGCCGUGAUUUAUAGAAACACAGCCCUUUGAAGCAAUUGGACAAUGAGCUGCAGACUUGGGGCGCAUUUCAAUAAUUCAAACAUCGUCUGAUACCUCGCAGUUCCAAGAGAAAUGUACAGCUGCCAAGCCCAGAGAACUUCCUGCUGGAAUUCUGCCAGAGAAUAGAAUAGCUCGCUGUGUCGGGGAGGUCCAUCCUUGGGAGGGUUUGCUGUUUGUAAAUUUAAUAAACGACUCACAUCUGCUUAUAAUAUUAUGGAAGUCUAUGCAAAAAGGACUUCUUCCAUAAAAACCCA
Molecule: long non-coding RNA, 1023 nt
Filed under: Chinchilla lanigera (long-tailed chinchilla)
Lineage: Eukaryota; Metazoa; Chordata; Mammalia; Rodentia; Chinchillidae
Description: lncRNA (ENSCLAG00000023046.1)
Source: RNAcentral